This 441-nucleotide ribosomal RNA is filed under the name uncultured bacterium. RNAcentral's name for it is "partial 16S ribosomal RNA". It matches the Rfam family "Bacterial small subunit ribosomal RNA", at positions 338 to 795 of the family's 1533-position model. The record is from RNAcentral.
CCUACGGGAGGCUGCAGUCGGGAAUAUUGCGCAAUGGAGGAAACUCUGACUCAGUGACGCCGCGUGCAGGAAGCAGGUUUUCGGAUUGUAAACUGCUUUAGACAGGGACUAAAAAAGACAGUACCUGUAGAAUAAGCUCCGUCUCACUACGUGACAGCAGCCGCGGUAAUACGUAGGGAGCAAGCGUUAUCCGGCUUUAUUGGGUUUACAGUGUGCGUAGACGGAGAAGCAAGUUAGUUGUGAAAUCUCUCGGCUUAACUGAAGAACUGCAAUUAAAACUACUUCCCUUGAGUACUGGAGAGGAAAGGGGAAUUCCGAGUGUAGCGGUGAAAUGCGUAGAUAGUAGGAGGAACACCAGUGGCGAAGGCGACUUUCUGGACAGUAACUGACGUUGAGGCACGAAAGUGUGGGGAGCAAACAGGAUUAGAUACCCCAGUAGUC